GAGUUUGAUCCUGGCUCAGAAUGAACGUUGGCGGCGUGGAUUAGGCAUGCAAGUCGAGCGUGAAGCCCCGCAAGGGGUGGAAAGCGGCGUAAGGGAGAGGAACACGUGGUUCAUCUGCCCUCAGGACCGGGAUAGCUGCGGGAAACUGCAGGUAAUACCGGAUAAUGUCUCCGGACCAAUUGGUGCGAUUCCGCCUGAGGAUGAGACCGCGUCCUAUUAGCUAGUUGGUGGGGUAAUGGCCUACCAAGGCAAUGAUGGGUACCGGGUGUGAGAGCACGACCCGGCUCACUGGGACUGAGACACUGCCCAGACACCUACGGGUGGCUGCAGUCGAGGAUCUUCGGCAAUGGGCGCAAGCCUGACCGAGCGACGCCGCGUGUGGGAUGAAGGCCUUCGGGUUGUAAACCACUGUCAGAGGGGAUGAAAUGCGUAGGGGUUCUCUCCUACGUUUGACAUAGCCUCAGAGGAAGUACGGGCUAAGUUCGUGCCAGCAGCCGCGGUAAGACGAACCGUACAAACGUUAUUCGGAAUCACUGGGCUUAAAGGGUGCGUAGGCGGCGGCGCAAGUUGGGUGUGAAAUCCCUCGGCUCAACCGAGGAACUGCGCUCAAAACUGCGUUGCUUGAGGGAGAUAGAGGUGAGUGGAACUUAGGGUGGAGCGGUGAAAUGCGUUGAUAUCCUAAGGAACACCAGUGGCGAAAGCGACUCACUGGGUCUCUUCUGACGCUGAGGCACGAAAGCUAGGGUAGCGAACGGGAUUAGAUACCCCGGUAGUCCUAGCCGUAAACGAUGAGCACUGGGUUGAAGGGUCCUCCAUAGCCCUUCAGCCGUAGCGAAAGUGUUAAG
RNAcentral lists this ribosomal RNA (845 nucleotides) under uncultured Planctomycetota bacterium. RNAcentral's name for it is "bacterial SSU rRNA". It matches the Rfam family "Bacterial small subunit ribosomal RNA", at positions 9 to 864 of the family's 1533-position model. Lineage: Bacteria; Pseudomonadati; Planctomycetota. The record is from RNAcentral.